UCAUGAUGAACGCUAGCUACAGGCUUAACACAUGCAAGUCGAGGGGCAGCAUGGUCUUAGCUUGCUAAGGCCGAUGGCGACCGGCGCACGGGUGAGUAACACGUAUCCAACCUGCCGUCUACUCUUGGACAGCCUUCUGAAAGGAAGAUUAAUACAAGAUGGCAUCAUGAGUCCGCAUGUUCACAUGAUUAAAGGUAUUCCGGUAGACGAUGGGGAUGCGUUCCAUUAGAUAGUAGGCGGGGUAACGGCCCACCUAGUCUUCGAUGGAUAGGGGUUCUGAGAGGAAGGUCCCCCACAUUGGAACUGAGACACGGUCCAAACUCCUACGGGAGGCAGCAGUGAGGAAUAUUGGUCAAUGGGCGAGAGCCUGAACCAGCCAAGUAGCGUGAAGGAUGACUGCCCUAUGGGUUGUAAACUUCUUUUAUAAAGGAAUAAAGUCGGGUAUGCAUACCCGUUUGCAUGUACUUUAUGAAUAAGGAUCGGCUAACUCCGUGCCAGCAGCCGCGGUAAUACGGAGGAUCCGAGCGUUAUCCGGAUUUAUUGGGUUUAAAGGGAGCGUAGAUGGAUGUUUAAGUCAGUUGUGAAAGUUUGCGGCUCAACCGUAAAAUUGCAGUUGAUACUGGAUAUCUUGAGUGCAGUUGAGGCAGGCGGAAUUCGUGGUGUAGCGGUGAAAUGCUUAGAUAUCACGAAGAACUCCGAUUGCGAAGGCAGCCUGCUAAGCUGCAACUGACAUUGAGGCUCGAAAGUGUGGGUAUCAAACAGGAUUAGAUACCCUGGUAGUCCACACGGUAAACGAUGAAUACUCGCUGUUUGCGAUAUACAGCAAGCGGCCAAGCGAAAGCGUUAAGUAUUCCACCUGGGGAGUACGCCGGCAACGGUGAAACUCAAAGGAAUUGACGGGGGCCCGCACAAGCGGAGGAACAUGUGGUUUAAUUCGAUGAUACGCGAGGAACCUUACCCGGGCUUAAAUUGCAGAUGAAUUAUGGUGAAAGCCGUAAGCCGCAAGGCAUCUGUGAAGGUGCUGCAUGGUUGUCGUCAGCUCGUGCCGUGAGGUGUCGGCUUAAGUGCCACAACGAGCGCAACCCUUGUUGUCAGUUACUAACAGGUUCCGCUGAGGACUCUGACAAGACUGCCAUCGUAAGAUGUGAGGAAGGUGGGGAUGACGUCAAAUCAGCACGGCCCUUACGUCCGGGGCUACACACGUGUUACAAUGGGGGGUACAGAGGGCCGCUACCACGCGAGUGGAUGCCAAUCCCAAAAACCUCUCUCAGUUCGGACUGGAGUCUGCAACCCGACUCCACGAAGCUGGAUUCGCUAGUAAUCGCGCAUCAGCCACGGCGCGGUGAAUACGUUCCCGGGCCUUGUACACACCGCCCGUCAAGCCAUGGGAGCCGGGGGUACCUGAAGUGCGUAACCGCGAGGAGCGCCCUAGG
This 1433-nucleotide ribosomal RNA is filed under the name uncultured organism. RNAcentral describes it as "SSU rRNA". It matches the Rfam family "Bacterial small subunit ribosomal RNA". The record is from RNAcentral.